UACGGGGGGGGCGAGCGUUAUUCGGAAUUAUUGGGCGUAAAGGGCGCGUAGGCGGCCUGGUAAGUCGAAGGUGAAAUCCCCGAGCUCAACUUGGGAACUGCCUUCGAUACUGCCGGGCUUGAGUCCGGGAGGGGAAAGUGGAAUUCCCAGUGUAGCGGUGAAAUGCGUAGAUAUUGGGAGGAACACCAGUGGCGAAGGCGGCUUUCUGGACCGGAUCUGACGCUGAGGCGCGAAAGCGUGGGUAGCAAACAGG
This 253-nucleotide ribosomal RNA is filed under the name uncultured bacterium. RNAcentral describes it as "partial 16S ribosomal RNA". It matches the Rfam family "Bacterial small subunit ribosomal RNA", at positions 524 to 776 of the family's 1533-position model. The record is from RNAcentral.